ACCCGUUGAUCCUGCGGGAGAUUGCUGCUAUUGGGGUUCGAUUUGGCCAUGCAAGUCCAGGGGUCUUUAUGACACCGGCAGACUGCUCAGUAACACGUUGAUAAUCUAACUUUGGGUGGCGAAUAGCCUUGGAAAACUGAGGGUAAUGCGCCAUAGGAAAAUUCGUUUGGAAUCGAGUUUUUUCUUAAAGCUACGGCGCCCAAAGAUGAGUCAGCGGCGGAUUAGGUUGUUGGCGGGGUAAUGGCCUACCAAGCCCAAGAUCCGUACGGGCCGUGAAAGCGGUAGCCCGGAGAAGGACACUGAGAUACUGGUCCUAGCCCUACGGGGUGCAGCAGGCGCGAAACCUUUACAAUGCACGAAAGUGUGAUAAGGGAACCCCAAGUGCUUAGCUUAGCUAGGCUUUUGCCAAGAGUAAAUAUCUCGGCGAAUAAGUGGUGGGUAAGACGGGUGCCAGCCGCCGCGGUAACACCUGCGCCACAAGUGGGAAUCAGCAUUAUUGGGCCUAAAGCGUCCGUAGCCUGUUUAGUUAGUCCCUUGUGAAAUAAUAAGAUUUAAUUUUAUGUUGUGCAGAGGAUACUGCUAGACUCGGAACCGGUAGGGGUACAGAGUAUUUAUGGUGGAGUGGUAAAAUGUGAUAAUUUUAUGAAGAUUAUUAAUGGUGAAGGUAUUGUACCAGGACGGAUUCGACGGUGAGGGACGAAAGCCAGGGGAGCGAUCCGGAUUAGAUAUCCGAGUAGUCCUGGCUGUAAACGCUGUGAGCUAGGUGUCGCGCAUUCUACGUGAAUGUGCGGUGUCGAAACGAAGGUAUUAAGCUCACCGCCUGGGAAGUACGGUCGCAAGACUGAAACUUAAAGGAAUUGGCGGGGGAGCACUACAAGGGGUGCGGCGUGCGGUUUAAUCUAAUUCAAUGUAGAGAAUCUUACCAGAUGCGACGGCAGAAUGAAGGUUAACCUGAAGGGUUUACCAGACGAGCCGAGAGGUAGUGCAUGGCCGCCGUCAGCUCGUGCCGUGAGGUGUCCUGUUAAGUCAGGCAACGAGCGAGACCUGCAUCCAUAAUUGCUAACAGCUUCAUUGAAGGACUGAGCACUUUAUGGGGACUGCCUUGGAAACAAGGAGGAAGGUGCAGGCUACGGUAGGUCUGUAUGCUCCGAAUCUUCUGGGCAACACGCGCGCAACAAUGAUACGAAUAAUAGGUUAUGACACCGAAAGGAGAAGUUAAUUUCCGAAAUCGUAUCUUAGUCUAGAUUGAGGGUUGUAACUCACCCUCAUGACAAUGGAAUCCCUAGUAAUCGGGUGUCAAUAUCGCCCGGUGAAUAUGUCCCUGCUCCUUGCACACACCGCCCGUCAAACCACUCGAGCAGGGUUUAGAUGAGUGUUAGCUUUUUGGUUAAUUCGAAUCUAAGCUCAGUGAGAUGGGUUAAGUCGUCACAAGGUA
This 1435-nucleotide ribosomal RNA is filed under the name metagenome. RNAcentral describes it as "bacterial SSU rRNA". It matches the Rfam family "Archaeal small subunit ribosomal RNA". The record is from RNAcentral.